Molecule: ribosomal RNA, 407 nt
Filed under: uncultured bacterium
Lineage: Bacteria
Description: bacterial SSU rRNA
Rfam family: Bacterial small subunit ribosomal RNA
Source: RNAcentral
UAAGGAAUAUUGGGCAAUGGAGGCAACUCUGACCCAGCAACGCCGCGUGAAGGAAGAAGGCCCUCGGGUUGUAAACUUCUGUUAUCAGGGAAGAAGAUAGUGACGGUACCUGAUGAGAAAGCUCCGGCUAACUACGUGCCAGCAGCCGCGGUAAUACGUAGGGAGCAAGCGUUGUCCGGAUUGACUGGGCGUAAAGGGAGUGUAGGCGGUUUGGUAAGUCAAAUGUGAAAGCCCGUGGCUCAACCACGGAAUUGCAUUUGAUACUGCUAGACUCGAGUUCGGGAGAGGUAAGUAGAAUUCCUAGUGUAGCGGUGGAAUGCGUAGAUAUUAGGAGGAAUACCAGUGGCGAAGGCGGCUUACUGGAACGACACUGACGCUGAGGCUCGAAAGCGUGGGGAGCAAACAGG